AACGAACGCCGGCGGCGUGGAUUAGGCAUGCAAGUCGAGCGAGAAAGGGGUAGCAAUAUCCUGAGUAAAGCGGCGAACUAGUGAGUAACAGGUGGGCAAUGUUCCCUGAAGUUGGGGAUAACUCCGAGAAAUCGGAGCUAAUACCGAAUGUGGCCCUCGGGAUCUCGGUCCGGAGGGUUAAAGACGUAAUUCGCUUUAGGAUCGGCCCGCCCCGGAUUAGCUAGUUGGUGAGGUAACGGCUCACCAAGGCAACGAUCCGUAGCUGGUCUGAGAGGAUGGUCAGCCACACUGGAACUGAGAUACGGUCCAGACUCCUACGGGGGCAGCAGUCUAGAGGCUUCGGCAAUGGGGGAAACCCUGACCGAGCGACGCCGCGUGUGGGAUUGAAGGUCGUUUUCGUUGUAAACCACUGGUGGGAGGGGGAAGAAUGCCCGCAUGGCGAAUGCGGGAGUGA
RNAcentral lists this ribosomal RNA (454 nucleotides) under uncultured bacterium. RNAcentral's name for it is "bacterial SSU rRNA". It matches the Rfam family "Bacterial small subunit ribosomal RNA", at positions 29 to 472 of the family's 1533-position model. The record is from RNAcentral.